ACCUGGGUGGCUCAGUUGGUUAAGCAUCUGACUUUAGCUCAGGUCAUGAUCUCACGGUUUGUGGGUUCGAGCCCCGCAUCAGGCU
RNAcentral lists this transfer RNA (85 nucleotides) under Felis catus (domestic cat). It matches the Rfam family "tRNA". From Rfam's summary of the family: Transfer RNA (tRNA) molecules are approximately 80 nucleotides in length. Their secondary structure includes four short double-helical elements and three loops (D, anti-codon, and T loops). The record is from Rfam by way of RNAcentral. Lineage: Eukaryota; Metazoa; Chordata; Mammalia; Carnivora; Felidae. RNAcentral also lists the same sequence under 3 other names.